AGAGUUUGAUCAUGGCUCAGAAUGAACGUUGGCGGCGUGGAUUAGGCAUGCAAGUCGUGCGCGAAUCGUAGCAAUACGAGGAAAGCGGCGUAAGGGAGAGGAGUUACGUGGGAAUAUACCCUUGGAACUGGGAUAGCGGCGGGAAACUGCCGGUAAUACCAGAUAAUGUCUUCGGACCAAAGGUGUGAAUCCGUCUAGGGAGUAGCCCACGUCCUAUUAGCUUGUUGGUGGGGUAAUGGCCUACCAAGGCAAUGAUGGGUAGCGGGUGUGAGAGCACGACCCGCCUCACUGGGACUGAGAACUGCCCAGACACCUACGGGUGGCUGCAGUCGAGAAUCUUCGGCAAUGGGCGCAAGCCUGACCGAGCGACGCCGCGUGCGGGAUGAAGGCCCUUGGGUUGUAAACCGCUGUCGUAGGGGAUCAAGAGAUGAGGGUACUCCCUCUGAUUUGAGUGAUCCUAGAGAAGA
This 467-nucleotide ribosomal RNA is filed under the name uncultured Pirellula sp. RNAcentral's name for it is "bacterial SSU rRNA". It matches the Rfam family "Bacterial small subunit ribosomal RNA", at positions 8 to 488 of the family's 1533-position model. The record is from RNAcentral. Lineage: Bacteria; Pseudomonadati; Planctomycetota; Planctomycetia; Pirellulales; Pirellulaceae.